Non-coding RNA from Oryctolagus cuniculus (rabbit), 4935 nucleotides. The record is from RefSeq and is a predicted model, not a curated record. NCBI's taxonomy places the organism in Eukaryota, Metazoa, Chordata, Mammalia, Lagomorpha, Leporidae.
GUUGACACCUCUCUUUAUCCUUCUGGACUCACGCUGUUUGAGUCUGUUUGCUUAUGAUUUAAAGGGAUCUCUGGAUUCGAUCUGUCAUAUUUAAUCAGAAAUCCUAUAGUUUAGACUUUUCACUAAUUCAUUUGUUCUUUCUUGAUGCCUUUUCCUCUCUACCUCCAAACAGUAGCUCUGAACUUGUAUGGUUUUACUAAAAUUCAUAUCUGUGGUUUCUGUUAAAACAGUCUUUAUGGAUUUGAUGGUGUCAAUAACUAAUAAUGGCAUCAUUACUCAUGUUUGUGAGCUUCGUACUGUGGUCCAGGUAUGGCUCUGUGCCUCACAUGCAUGAUCUCAUUUAAUCUUUGCAACCACUUUUGGACAGCACCUGCCUAGGCAGUCUGUAGCCCCUGUUUCCCAGAAACAUUUAGAAUGCCUCUGGUGAGAAGCCGUUGCCAAUCUCAACCCAGCUCUGAGUCUGGUGUUGGCCUUUAAUCUCUCAUUCUGUGUGUUGUAAAGAAACAGGUUGUGGAAGGCUCUUGUCAGAUCCCAGGAACAUGAAAGAAACGGCACACCCGAGGGUAGUGACAUGGCCCUGUCACCACCCCUCAUUGAACCAUAAAAGCUCUUCAGAGGGUCUGGCAGCUGGUGAGCGACUGUACUUAGAUCCUGGGUGCUGAUGGGUGUUUUGUAGUUUCCAAGGGAAGUUGCUGAAAGUUUUCUUAUCUUGACACUCCAAGGGCAAGAGGUCUUUCUUCAAAGGGAAGUGCUUGUUUCAGAAAGAUAUGUGGAAAGAACAUAAAAUCACCAGUUCAUCCCCAGUUCUGGAGAAGAGAUGGGAAGAAACAGUGUGGCAACCAGUGUAAACACAAGGCAUUUGCAGGAAUCUAGAAGGGGUUCCCUAAGGUUGUGAUUGGUUCCCAUAUCUGUAAUACAAAGAUUGGGGUUGAGGGGUGAGGAGGUGGGAGGGUUUCCUUUGAGUCAUUGUCCUGCAGUCUUUGAGCUGUGGCCUGGAGCAAGGGUUUUGAUAGGCAUGAUAAUGCCUACCUCAGUGGUUGGCUGUGUGCAGUAAAUUAUGUGAUGUAUAUGAAGAUACUUUCAAAAGUUCAUGGAAAGUAGAAUUAAAAGUAAGUCCUCUUUUUUCCUGGUCAAGAUUUAUUUAUUUAUUUGAAAAACAGGGUUACAGGGAGACAGGAGAGACAGAGAUCUUCUGUCCGCUGGUUCACUCCCCAAAUGGCUGUAACAGCCGGGGCUGGGCCAGGACAAAGCCAGGGGCCCAAGAACUUGGGCCAUUUUCCACUGCUUUCCCAGAAGUAUUAAUAGGGAGCUGGAUCAGAAAUGGAGCAGCUGGGACACAAACUGGCACCUCUAUGGGAUGGUGGUGUCACAGAAGGCGGCUUAACCUGCUGUAGCACAACACCGGCCCUCAAGUAAUUUUCUUUUGGUGCAAAAAAUAAUUAAAUAAAUUGAAAUCCAUGCAUAUGAAGGGUGUUCAGAAAGUUCACGGAAAAUGUAUACUACCAAAAAAUAUGCAUAGAUUUCAAAAAUUUCUUGCCCUAAAAUAAACAUCUUUUAAUUUCAUUUUCCACAAACUUUUGAAAGUCCUCUCAUGUCAGCCACUUGACCUGCUUGUAGCAGACGGUUAGGGCAUAAGAAACGACACUGGUGUUGAUAUCGCCUCCUGAAUAUCGGAUGGUGAGCAGUACUGCAGCAGCAAUCCUGGUAGCUCUCACCUCCACCCUGCCCUGGCCGUGCACACUGCUUGCGUGGGGCCAAGACUUGGAGUUCAUGCGUACGCUUUGCUGAGUGUCUGCCUUGCCUGUUCCCUUUCUCACACAAAGCAGACAGCUGAGUUCAAGCCUACAAACCGGGUCGGGAUUGCUAGGUAGAGGAACUCACCUGGGCUCUCAGCCUCUGUACGUGUGCGAGAACCACACUGGAAGAGGUGUGCAGGGCUCCCGGCCUCUGUACGUGUGCGAGAACCACACUGGAAGAGGUGUGCAGGGCUCUCGGCCUCUGUACGUGUGCGAGAACCACACUGGAAGAGGUGUGCAGGGCUCCCGGCCUCUGUACGUGUGUGAGAACCACACUGGAAGAGGUGUGCAGGGCUCCCGGCCUCUGUACAUGUGCGAGAACCACACUGGAAGAGGUGUGCAGGGCUCCCGGCCUCUGUACAUGUGCGAGAACCACACUGGAAGAGGUGUGCAGGGCUCUCGGCCUCUGUACGUGUGUGAGAACCACACUGGAAGAGGUGUGCAGGGCUCCCGGCCUCUGUACGUGUGCGAGAACCACGCUGGAAGAGGUGUGCAGAGGCCACGAACUUGCUCUGAACCCACUUGUGAAGAGCAGGUGAUCCCAAACUAUUGUUAGUGUCUGCUGUAAAUGAUAUGCCUCUGGGUUCGAGCAGAGUUCAGCCAAGAGUCCCACAUGACAUGGAAAUCUGUCCUGGAGCCAGUUUUGUCGGCUAAAAGUUAUGAAGCGAAUGUCUCCAAACACUGGCAUCUGUCGUCUGCCGAGGGGCAGCCGGCCGAGAACGAUGGCCUGCGGAAAUCGGGAUGGGGCAUGUGGCCCUGUGACAGCUGACAGGCCUUUUCAGCUACUGUUGCUCGUCCAGCUUUCUGAUAAACAGCUCUGACAGCAUUACGUGGUUUGGAAAGCGUUCUUCAAAGACGGGCGUGUUUUCCCGGCGCAUGACAGUCGGCGCUAGUGUUGUUUGAGGGGUUUGAGUUGUAGAAUCGAAUUCCUCUUUCCUUUCCAGCGGGGCUGCUCUAAGUGCCGAGAGCUUACCUGUCCGACUCCUGCCAGGACGGUCCCACGAUGUUAUCACGAUGGUCGGUCGGGGUCCCCUGUGUCUUCAAAAACAAAAACAAAACAUAGAAAAAAAACCCUUGAAUUAAAGGCCAAGAGUUCAAGAGGAAAAACCGUCUGUGAUUUCUGGCUCAGUGUGGUGUGCGCGGGUGAUGCUUUCCUCAUGCACCCUCUGUCUCGUGACCUCUGCAUAGUGCAAGUGGAGAGGAAAGUUUGGAUUCUUGUAAUGCUUUGAGCUUUGAAAGCGAACUUCCUCCAGAUAAGAAGUGUUCAUUUCCUAGUUCGUUGCAAGCCUCGUCGUCCCUCUUGUCCUGCUCCCAGAAAUGUGACUUCUGGUGCCUUUUGACCUUCCUAGGAAAUUCUCAGUGUCACUGGGGAAGGGAGGUUGCUCUCGGGGGAAUAGCAUUCAGACCACGAAUUUCAUUUAGGAUUUAGACUAAUCCAGACAAUAUCGUAAGUACAAAGUGUUUUAGUAAUGGAUUUUUUUUUUCUGCUUGAGAGGCAGAGAGAUACAAAUAGAGAAGGCUCCUAUUUGCUGGCCUACUCCCCAAGUACCUGCAACAGCUAGAGCGAGGCGAGCUCAGAGCCCAGAGCCGGGAGCUCAACUUCUUGAAUCAUCACCACUGCAUCCAAGGGUUUCCAUUAUUAAGAACCUGUAGUCAGGAACCCAAGGCCAAUAGCAAACACAGGCACUCCCGUUUAACCAGCCUUGCAGUUGCUAGGCUAAAUGACUGCUCUUAGUGACAGAUUUUUUUAAAGCUGUUCUUAAUUCUAAUACACUAUUUUUUUAAAUUUCAUGGUAGGAGUCAUGAGAUUUUAAUCUUACUCCCAGAAUGCAGUGGUGGAGCUAACAGUCGCGUGGAACAUCAUUCUGUUUUACUGUGGUGCAGUGACAGCAGUUCACAUUCUUUUACUUUGUCAGUGUAGGAUCAGUCCCUCCUUGCCUCAAAUCUCUGUAAUCAAAAUAACCUGUCUGGGUGUUCCCUUUGGGUCCGGGAGGCGGCCUGACCUCCUGACAAGAGACUGAGAGUGCGUGCAAACCAUGAGCGCAGAACUCCAGUUCCAACACCAACAGUGCUCUGCUCUGUGGUCUUCUGCAGAUAGCUUUUAGCCUCUCCUCUCUAGCUAAGGGGAGAGGGUCGUCCUUGCCUGGUAAUCUGCGUGUGGCUGAGAUGAACAGAUGAACUGUUUGUGUGACUCCCUGGAAGAGUGACACGGAGGGGCCUCCCCGCCUAGGAGGGAGCAAACUGGACAUUGGCAUGAGAAAGCCCGGACAGGGCAAAUGGAACUUAGAAUAUUUACUAAGAAUAGGAAGGCACUGGUGUAGUGUGUUCCUUCGCAGCCUGUGGGUCUAGGCCUGUCCCCAGCUGGGCAAUUGCUUACCUGAGUGCUCCCCAUGGGUUGAGUCUGUGGCCAAGUCUGCCUUGUCAGCCUUCAGCCCUCCCUGUGACUUCACCUCCGAGGAGACUGCAGAGCAGCCCCCGACGUAGCAGGCUGGGUCACGUGGCUGGAGAAUAUCAGGCCCUCCUACAUACAGAUUUAAGCCCAGGGAACCUGUUGGGAGAGGGCCACUUCCCCUAUACUCAGUCCUUGUGGGACUACUUGAAGUGUUGACAGUGUCCUUUAGCUCAUAGUCAAGAAAUCAAUGUUUAAACAAACAAAAACCACCUUUGAUAACAGAGGUAUUUUGUGUAAGAAGGGAUGUGUAUGUUGUGAGAAAGCAAAUUCUAAACCAUAUUUCCCUUUCAUCCCCAAACCUAUCAGAUUAGUACUUCCUACCCUGCCCACAGUGCUGGAGUGACGUUGGGUAGAUCCCGGAAAAGCAGUCCGCAAAGCACGCGGGAGAGCAGCGCGCACGGUGGUGAGUGUGCUGACGGCAGCCGCUCUCAGUGUGUGUGUGGCUUGCUGCAUCCUGUUUUUAAGUAACUCAUGCUCCUGCAUUUUCAGUUUGGCCUCCUUGUUUUACUUAUGAUUAUAUGUUCCUAGAAUAUUGUCAUAAAAGCGAUCCUAAGAUAGAAAAGUCCAACAGGAAGUGGGGGCAUUGAGGUCACUGUUUCUAAAUUCUCAAACUCUGUUUUGGCCCACGACAGAAUCUCAUUCCCAGGGGUAGGUCCAAAUAUAUCAAAGACUCUCGCUGCAUCUGGG